RNAcentral lists this long non-coding RNA (319 nucleotides) under Capsella rubella. RNAcentral describes it as "long non-coding RNA (CRUB_LNC001137)". Lineage: Eukaryota; Viridiplantae; Streptophyta; Magnoliopsida; Brassicales; Brassicaceae. The record is from RNAcentral.
GUGUACAUUCACACAUCUAUUGAUCGAAUUAUUAAUCUAAUUCGAGAACAUGUUAUGAAGUAUGUAUUAUGCAUCUACCGAUUGACGAAUAAUAUAAUUAAACCUGUAUUUUAAGUAUGUUAGUGCAUUGGUUUAGUGAAAAAAAAAAACCAAACGAACAUGUUCUUGAUUCUCGAAGUGAUGGAUGAUAAAUGUUUCCCUUGAGUCUUUUAUGGAAUCACUUCAUCUUUCACUUUUAAUGGUUAUAGUAUCUUGAUCGAGAUGUUCUCUUUGACAGUCGAAAAGCUCGUUCAAUUUAAUUUCAAUUAUUAGAAUAAAG